Molecule: ribosomal RNA, 253 nt
Filed under: uncultured bacterium
Lineage: Bacteria
Description: partial 16S ribosomal RNA
Rfam family: Bacterial small subunit ribosomal RNA
Source: RNAcentral
AACGGAGGGGGUGAGCGUUGCCCGGAUUUACUGGGCUUAAAGGGUCCGUAGGCGGUGUCCUAAGUCCCCCGUGAAAGCUGCCCGCUCAACGGGCAGAGGUCGGGGGAGACUGGGACACUUGAGGGCGGGAGAGGCCGGCGGAACGGCGGGUGUUGCGGUGAAAUGCGUCGAUAUCCGCCGGAACACCAGUGGCGAAGGCGGCCGGCUGGAACGCCCCUGACGCUGAGGGGCGAAGGCCGGGGGAGCGAACCGG